RNAcentral lists this ribosomal RNA (548 nucleotides) under Staphylococcus aureus. Its description in RNAcentral is "partial 23S ribosomal RNA". It matches the Rfam family "Bacterial large subunit ribosomal RNA", at positions 1 to 543 of the family's 2925-position model. The record is from RNAcentral. Lineage: Bacteria; Bacillati; Bacillota; Bacilli; Caryophanales; Staphylococcaceae.
GAUUAAGUUAUUAAGGGCGCACGGUGGAUGCCUUGGCACUAGAAGCCGAUGAAGGACGUUACUAACGACGAUAUGCUUUGGGGAGCUGUAAGUAAGCUUUGAUCCAGAGAUUUCCGAAUGGGGAAACCCAGCAUGAGUUAUGUCAUGUUAUCGAUAUGUGAAUACAUAGCAUAUCAGAAGGCACACCCGGAGAACUGAAACAUCUUAGUACCCGGAGGAAGAGAAAGAAAAUUCGAUUCCCUUAGUAGCGGCGAGCGAAACGGGAAGAGCCCAAACCAACAAGCUUGCUUGUUGGGGUUGUAGGACACUCUAUACGGAGUUACAAAGGACGACAUUAGACGAAUCAUCUGGAAAGAUGAAUCAAAGAAGGUAAUAAUCCUGUAGUCGAAAAUGUUGUCUCUCUUGAGUGGAUCCUGAGUACGACGGAGCACGUGAAAUUCCGUCGGAAUCUGGGAGGACCAUCUCCUAAGGCUAAAUACUCUCUAGUGACCGAUAGUGAACCAGUACCGUGAGGGAAAGGUGAAAAGCACCCCGGAAGGGGAGUGAAA